UCACCCUUUGCAUUUCCAUUGCAUUCCACCAUGCUCUUUUCCUCCCUCCCUCUCCUCUCUCUCUAAUUCUAAGGAGCUAUAUUAAAGAAGGCUAGCUAUGCUUCACUCAAACCAGUUGCUCAUCCAUCUUCUCUUUUCCUUCUCCUUCUACUUCUUCCAUCUCCUCCUGCAUUCUGCAAAAGAGUGGCUCGAUCUUCAUGAUAUAUAGCUCUUUUGUUUGUUCUUGGUGUCCAUGUUCGAGGGAGGGUGCCAGUCGUUGCAACAUUGCAGUUAUGUAUUUUGUGUUUUUUUUUUAAUUUUAUUUUGGUGAUAUUAAGGUUGGUCCAUUAGACGGCCUUGCGACGACGGGAUAUUGGGGCGGUUCAAUCAGAAAGCUUGUGCUCCGGAAGCGAGGAGCUCUACUCUUUUGAUUGAGCCGUGCCAAUAUCA
Molecule: non-coding RNA, 429 nt
Filed under: Oryza sativa Indica Group (long-grained rice)
Lineage: Eukaryota; Viridiplantae; Streptophyta; Magnoliopsida; Poales; Poaceae
Source: RNAcentral